RNAcentral lists this ribosomal RNA (503 nucleotides) under uncultured bacterium. RNAcentral describes it as "bacterial SSU rRNA". It matches the Rfam family "Bacterial small subunit ribosomal RNA", at positions 21 to 518 of the family's 1533-position model. The record is from RNAcentral.
GGCUCAGGAUGAACGCUAGCGACAGGCUUAACACAUGCAAGUCGAGGGGCAGCAUAAAGUAGCAAUACUUGGUGGCGACCGGCGCACGGGUGAGUAACGCGUAUGCAACCUACCUAUCAGAGGGGAAGUAACCCGGCGAAAGUCGGACUAAUACCGCAUAAAACAGGGGCACCGCAUGGUGAUAUUUGUUAAAGAAAUUCGCUGAUAGAUGGGCAUGCGUUCCAUUAGGUAGUUGGUGAGGUAACGGCUCACCAAGCCGACGAUGGAUAGGGAACUGAGAGGUUGGUCCCCCACACUGGUACUGAGACACGGACCAGACUCCUACGGGAGGCAGCAGUGAGGAAUAUUGGUCAAUGGGCGGGAGCCUGAACCAGCCAAGUCGCGUGAAGGAAGAAGGAUCUAUGGUUCGUAAACUUCUUUUGCAGGGGAACAAAGUGCAGGACGUGUCCUGUUUUGUAUGUACCCUGAGAAUAAGGAUCGGCUAACUCCGUGCCAGCCGCCGC